AUUGAGUAUCAGUAGAUUAAAUCUGCAAUUCUUUUGUUUUUGAAGGAAGCUAUAACUAUGUAAUCUUCAAAUACUUCCUUAAUUAAAGACCCCAGUACUAUCAUCUUGCAAAACAAACAGCAAAAUCCCAUUAUGUUUCUUUAAAGCAAAAUUUAAAUCUUUGUUUUGAUGGUAUUUACGAAUAGUCUUAUCUUCACGUGUAGAUAUUUGUGAGGAGAAAAGUACUUACUAAUGGCAAAGUAGUCAACCAUUUUCAAGGUAAAAAUUGAUUUCUAUUUAUUUUGCUUCAAAGGUCCUGAAAAAAUAAGCAAUUAUCAUAACG
This 322-nucleotide long non-coding RNA is filed under the name Bos taurus (domestic cattle). RNAcentral describes it as "long non-coding RNA NONBTAT023692". Lineage: Eukaryota; Metazoa; Chordata; Mammalia; Artiodactyla; Bovidae. The record is from RNAcentral.